This 319-nucleotide long non-coding RNA is filed under the name Setaria viridis. RNAcentral's name for it is "long non-coding RNA (SVIR_LNC007327)". The record is from RNAcentral. Lineage: Eukaryota; Viridiplantae; Streptophyta; Magnoliopsida; Poales; Poaceae.
AGAAUUCAGAGUUCACACAGGAAACUGAGAACAGAGUAACAGUGGAGAGGGCAGGGUGUCUGGGUGUGUGUAAGUGUAUCCUCUCGGUUGGGCGAUCAUUGACCAUGCCGAUGGUCGUUCUGAGAAUCAUUUUGUUUUUGCCUGCGGGAAAAUAGCUUCGCUACUUCGUACGUGAGUAAAAUAUUGAAGGUACGCCAAUAUUACAAUUAUAAUUUUAAAUAGAACGCAAAUAUCUUUACAGAGAUGUAUGAAUUGUGAUACUUCUGGAAAAAGAACCCUAAGCAUUGAUUGGGUAACAUGCUUUUAAAACAUGAAUUUC